ACGUAGGGAGCAAGCGUUGUCCGGAUUCACUGGGUGUAAAGGGUGCGUAGGCGGGACAGUAAGUCAGUGGUGGAAUCUCACGGCUCAACCGUGAAACUGCCGUUGAUACUGCUGUUCUUGAGUUCGGGAGAGGUUGAUAGAAUUCCAGGUGUAGCGGUGAAAUGCGUAGAUAUCUGGAAGAAUACCAGUGGCGAAGGCGGUCAACUGGCCCGAAACUGACGCUGAGGCACGAAAGCGUGGGGAGCGAACAGGA
Molecule: ribosomal RNA, 253 nt
Filed under: uncultured prokaryote
Description: partial 16S ribosomal RNA
Rfam family: Bacterial small subunit ribosomal RNA
Source: RNAcentral